This 334-nucleotide unclassified non-coding RNA is filed under the name Ascomycota sp. RNAcentral's name for it is "partial contains small subunit ribosomal RNA, internal transcribed spacer 1, and 5.8S ribosomal RNA". The stretch from base 1 to 47 matches the Rfam family "Eukaryotic small subunit ribosomal RNA", at positions 1785 to 1831 of the family's 1831-position model. The record is from RNAcentral. Lineage: Eukaryota; Fungi; Ascomycota.
AAAGUCGUAACAAGGUUUCCGUAGGUGAACCUGCGGAAGGAUCAUUAUCGUGUGGGGCUCUGCCCCUAAAGGAUGUAGGCCAGCCAAUUCAGAGCCCGUUCCAAUUUGGGUGUUUCUCCCACCAGACGUGGUGGUAGUAACCUCCAUGUUUGGCUGCUUUUUGGAGCAAACGAGGCUUCUUGGAUGACUGGCACACAGUUCACCCCUGUCCAUGAGUACUAUUGUUUCCUCGGCAAGCCUGCUUGCCAAUGAGGACCCCAUAAACCCUUUUUAUGUUAUUGUAACCGUAUUAAACAAACAAUCAAAACUUUCAACAACGGAUCUCUUGGUUCUG